This 703-nucleotide ribosomal RNA is filed under the name Streptomyces sp. RNAcentral describes it as "bacterial SSU rRNA". It matches the Rfam family "Bacterial small subunit ribosomal RNA", at positions 62 to 779 of the family's 1533-position model. The record is from RNAcentral. Lineage: Bacteria; Bacillati; Actinomycetota; Actinomycetes; Kitasatosporales; Streptomycetaceae.
UCGAACGAUGAACCCACUUCGGUGGGGGAUUAGUGGCGAACGGGUGAGUAACACGUGGGCAAUCUGCCCUUCACUCUGGGACAAGCCCUGGAAACGGGGUCUAAUACCGGAUACGACCACUUCAGGCAUCUGAUGGUGGUGGAAAGCUCCGGCGGUGAAGGAUGAGCCCGCGGCCUAUCAGCUUGUUGGUGGGGUAAUGGCCCACCAAGGCGACGACGGGUAGCCGGCCUGAGAGGGCGACCGGCCACACUGGGACUGAGACACGGCCCAGACUCCUACGGGAGGCAGCAGUGGGGAAUAUUGCACAAUGGGCGAAAGCCUGAUGCAGCGACGCCGCGUGAGGGAUGACGGCCUUCGGGUUGUAAACCUCUUUCAGCAGGGAAGAAGCGAAAGUGACGGUACCUGCAGAAGAAGCGCCGGCUAACUACGUGCCAGCAGCCGCGGUAAUACGUAGGGCGCAAGCGUUGUCCGGAAUUAUUGGGCGUAAAGAGCUCGUAGGCGGCUUGUCACGUCGGAUGUGAAAGCCCGGGGCUUAACCCCGGGUCUGCAUUCGAUACGGGCAGGCUAGAGUGUGGUAGGGGAGAUCGGAAUUCCUGGUGUAGCGGUGAAAUGCGCAGAUAUCAGGAGGAACACCGGUGGCGAAGGCGGAUCUCUGGGCCAUUACUGACGCUGAGGAGCGAAAGCGUGGGGAGCGAACAGGAUU